GACGAACGCUGGCGGCGUGCUUAACACAUGCAAGUCGAACGGAAAGGCCCUGCUUUUGGGGGGUGCUCGAGUGGCGAACGGGUGAGUAACACGUGAGUAACCUGCCCUUGCCUUUGGGAUAACUUCAGGAAACUGGGGCUAAUACCGGAUAGGAGCUCCUGCUGCAUGGUGGGGGUUGGAAAGUUUCGGCGGUUGGGGAUGGACUCGCGGCUUAUCAGCUUGUUGGUGGGGUAGUGGCUUACCAAGGCUUUGACGGGUAGCCGGCCUGAGAGGGUGACCGGCCACAUUGGGACUGAGAUACGGCCCAGACUCCUACGGGAGGCAGCAGUGGGGAAUAUUGCACAAUGGGCGGAAGCCUGAUGCAGCAACGCCGCGUGCGGGAUGACGGCCUUCGGGUUGUAAACCGCUUUCGCCUGUGACGAAGCGUGAGUGACGGUAAUGGGUAAAUAAGCACCGGCUAACUACGUG
RNAcentral lists this ribosomal RNA (468 nucleotides) under uncultured bacterium. RNAcentral's name for it is "partial 16S ribosomal RNA". It matches the Rfam family "Bacterial small subunit ribosomal RNA", at positions 28 to 507 of the family's 1533-position model. The record is from RNAcentral.